RNAcentral lists this small RNA (71 nucleotides) under Bradyrhizobium ivorense. RNAcentral's name for it is "Bradyrhizobium sp. CI-1B suhB". It matches the Rfam family "Makes More Granules Regulator RNA (mmgR)". Rfam says of the family: SuhB later renamed mmgR (makes more granules regulator) was a putative non-coding RNA found multiple times in the Agrobacterium tumefaciens genome and related alpha-proteobacteria. Other non-coding RNAs uncovered in the same analysis include: speF, ybhL, metA, and serC. Several studies inSinorhizobium meliloti showed that suhB element is indeed a non-coding RNA:firstly it was detected on Northern blot and called Sm8RNA, secondly in an RNAseq study referred to as SmelC689. Lineage: Bacteria; Pseudomonadati; Pseudomonadota; Alphaproteobacteria; Hyphomicrobiales; Nitrobacteraceae. The record is from RNAcentral.
CCCAGAGGCCCACACGGGCGUUUCCUCCCUGACUUGGGCCACCCUUCGGGGUGGCUUUUUUUUCGGCUCUU